RNAcentral lists this ribosomal RNA (484 nucleotides) under uncultured bacterium. RNAcentral describes it as "partial 16S ribosomal RNA". It matches the Rfam family "Bacterial small subunit ribosomal RNA", at positions 30 to 507 of the family's 1533-position model. The record is from RNAcentral.
AUUGAACGCUGGCGGCAGGCCUAACACAUGCAAGUCGAGCGGAUGAAGGGAGCUUGCUCCUGGAUUCAGCGGCGGACGGGUGAGUAAUGCCUAGGAAUCUGCCUGGUAGUGGCGGAUAACGUCCGGAAACGGGCGCCAAUACCGCAUACGUCCUGAGGGAGAAAGUGGGGGAUCUUCGGACCUCACGCUAUCAGAUGAGCCUAGGCCGGAUUAGCUAGUUGGUGGGGUAAAGGCCUACCAAGGCGACGAUCCGUAACUGGUCUGAGAGGAUGAUCAGUCACACUGGAACUGAGACACGGUCCAGACUCCUACGGGAGGCAGCAGUGGGGAAUAUUGGACAAUGGGCGAAAGCCUGAUCCAGCCAUGCCGCGUGUGUGAAGAAGGUCUUCGGAUUGUAAAGCACUUUAAGUUGGGAGGAAGGGCAGUAAGUUAAUACCUUGCUGUUUUGACGUUACCAACAGAAUAAGCACCGGCUAACUUCGUG